RNAcentral lists this transfer RNA (78 nucleotides) under Syntrophobacter sp. SbD1. RNAcentral's name for it is "tRNA-Glu". It matches the Rfam family "tRNA". From Rfam's summary of the family: Transfer RNA (tRNA) molecules are approximately 80 nucleotides in length. Their secondary structure includes four short double-helical elements and three loops (D, anti-codon, and T loops). The record is from RNAcentral. Lineage: Bacteria; Pseudomonadati; Thermodesulfobacteriota; Syntrophobacteria; Syntrophobacterales; Syntrophobacteraceae.
GUCCCCAUCGUCUAGUCUGGUCCAGGACACCGGCCUUUCACGCCGGCGACGCCGGUUCAAAUCCGGCUGGGGACGCUA